This 253-nucleotide ribosomal RNA is filed under the name uncultured bacterium. RNAcentral's name for it is "partial 16S ribosomal RNA". It matches the Rfam family "Bacterial small subunit ribosomal RNA", at positions 524 to 776 of the family's 1533-position model. The record is from RNAcentral.
UACGUAGGGGGCAAGCGUUGUCCGGAAUCAUUGGGCGUAAAGCGCACGUAGGCGGCCCUGUAAGUCCGUUGUGAAAGUCAAAGGCUCAACCUUUGAAAGCCGAUGGAUACUGCUGGGCUAGAGUCCGGAAGAGGCGAGUGGAAUUCCUGGUGUAGCGGUGGAAUGCGCAGAUAUCAGGAGGAACACCGAUAGCGAAGGCAGCUCGCUGGGACGGUACUGACGCUGAGGCGCGAAAGCGUGGGGAGCGAACAGG